GACGGAGGGUGCUAGCGUUGUUCGGAAUGACUGGGCGUAAAGCGUGCGCAGGCGGUUUGCUAAGACAGGUGUGAAAUCCCCGGGCUUAACCUGGGAACUGCGCUUGUAACUGGCAAGCUAGAGUGUGGCAGAGGGGGGUGGAAUUCCAGGUGUAGCAGUGAAAUGCGUAGAGAUCUGGAGGAACACCGAUGGCGAAGGCAGCCCCCUGGGCUAACACUGACGCUCAUGCACGAAAGCGUGGGGAGCAAACAGG
This 253-nucleotide ribosomal RNA is filed under the name uncultured bacterium. RNAcentral's name for it is "partial 16S ribosomal RNA". It matches the Rfam family "Bacterial small subunit ribosomal RNA", at positions 524 to 776 of the family's 1533-position model. The record is from RNAcentral.